UGGGGAAUAUUGGACAAUGGGCGAAAGCCUGAUCCAGCCAUGCCGCGUGUGUGAAGAAGGUCUUCGGAUUGUAAAGCACUUUAAGUUGGGAGGAAGGGCAGUAAGUUAAUACCUUGCUGUUUUGACGUUACCAACAGAAUAAGCACCGGCUAACUUCGU
Molecule: ribosomal RNA, 159 nt
Filed under: uncultured Pseudomonas sp.
Lineage: Bacteria; Pseudomonadati; Pseudomonadota; Gammaproteobacteria; Pseudomonadales; Pseudomonadaceae
Description: partial 16S ribosomal RNA
Rfam family: Bacterial small subunit ribosomal RNA
Source: RNAcentral